This 310-nucleotide long non-coding RNA is filed under the name Daucus carota (carrot). RNAcentral describes it as "long non-coding RNA (DCAR_LNC006315)". The record is from RNAcentral. Lineage: Eukaryota; Viridiplantae; Streptophyta; Magnoliopsida; Apiales; Apiaceae.
UUUCUUGAUAUGUGCAUGAUAGAAAACCUCACCUGACCAAAACCCUAAAUUUGUCUGUAGUAGAGCACGAUAGCAAACCCUGUCUGAGCAAAACCCUAAUCUUGUCUGUAGCACAUAAAAUCUUUUGUCUCACACCUGCACACAUUUUGUCACUUAACUAUUUGUGGUAUCUCUGAAAAUAGUAAGUUGACUACUUGUGCACACUAUUUUUGUCAUCCUGUCACUAUCUAUACUAUUUGUGGGCACUACCACCAAAACAGCAACCAUAUACCCUGUGUGAGUUCUUGAAACCAUGACAAAAAGGACACGC